GAGUUUGAACCUGGCUCAGGAUGAACGCUGGCGGCGUGCCUAACACAUGCAAGUCGAACGGAUCCAUAUUGAAACCUAGUGAUGCAUGGAUUAGUGGCGGACGGGUGAGUAACGCGUGGAUAACCUGCCGUAUACAGGGGGAUAACACUUAGAAAUAGGUGCUAAUACCGCAUAAGCGCACGGUUCCGCAUGGAACAGUGUGAAAAACUCCGGUGGUAUGCGAUGGAUCCGCGUCUGAUUAGCCAGUUGGCGGGGUAACGGCCCACCAAAGCGACGAUCAGUAGCCGGCCUGAGAGGGUGAACGGCCACAUUGGGACUGAGACACGGCCCAAACUCCUACGGGAGGCAGCAGUGGGGAAUAUUGCACAAUGGGGGAAACCCUGAUGCAGCGACGCCGCGUGAGUGAAGAAGUAUCUCGGUACGUAAAGCUCUAUCAGCAGGGAAGAAAAUGACGGUACCUGACUA
This 465-nucleotide ribosomal RNA is filed under the name uncultured bacterium. RNAcentral's name for it is "bacterial SSU rRNA". It matches the Rfam family "Bacterial small subunit ribosomal RNA", at positions 9 to 485 of the family's 1533-position model. The record is from RNAcentral.